RNAcentral lists this ribosomal RNA (460 nucleotides) under uncultured bacterium. Its description in RNAcentral is "partial 16S ribosomal RNA". It matches the Rfam family "Bacterial small subunit ribosomal RNA", at positions 338 to 795 of the family's 1533-position model. The record is from RNAcentral.
CCUACGUGAGGCAGCAGUGAGGAAUAUUGGUCAAUGUGCGCGAGCCUGAACCAGCCAAGUAGCGUGAAGGAUGACUGCCCUACGGGUUGUAAACUUCUUUUAUAAAGGAAUAAAGUGAGGCACGUGUGCCUUUUUGUAUGUACUUUAUGAAUAAGGAUCGGCUAACUCCGUGCCAGCAGCCGCGGUAAUACGGAGGAUCCGAGCGUUAUCCGGAUUUAUUGGGUUUAAAGGGAGCGUAGAUGGGUUGUUAAGUCAGUUGUGAAAGUUUGCGGCUCAACCGUAAAAUUGCAAUUGAUACUGGCAGUCUUGAGUACAGUUGAGGUAGGCGGAAUUCGUGGUGUAGCGGUGAAAUGCUUAGAUAUCACGAAGAACUCCGAUUGCGAAGGCAGCUUACUAAACUGCCACUGACAUUGAUGCUCAAAAGUGUGGGUAUCAAACAGGAUUAGAUACCCCAGUAGUC